AUUCUGACAGCUCACGCGCCACUUUAAUCGUUUUGAACGGAUUAUUUCAAUUAUUAAAACGUUAACGAAGUACUUUAAAGACAGACAAAGAGAUAAUUCAACUAGAAUGCAUUGAAACCAAACCUGUUUGUUUGCUGGCGAUGGAAGAGGCGUUUAUGAAUUUCCACCUGCACGUGCAGCUUGUGAACGACUCACCUUAGAUGAUCAGGGAUCUUGUUCAACCAAUCAUUUCUAAAGCCGGGGUCCUUCAGACGAUUAUGCAGAGUGUUAGGUGCUGCACACAUCCAGGAACUACCAAAGUGAGCACAUAAGAAGAACCGGAGAAGAAAAGGAAGAGACGGCCGUUGCUUUCUGUAGGUACUGUGCUUUUUGUUCUUGUGAAUCUUAUCAGUAUAGUAUAGUGUUGUUCUUGUCGCACUACAACCCUGAAGAUAAACAGUGCAAUUGUAUUGUAUAUCUUUUAAGAACUGCAUAGAGAAACCACUUUUCUAAAAAUUUAAGAUAAAGCUGU
Long non-coding RNA from Carassius carassius (crucian carp), 511 nucleotides. RefSeq lists it as uncharacterized. Lineage: Eukaryota; Metazoa; Chordata; Actinopteri; Cypriniformes; Cyprinidae. The record is from RefSeq and is a predicted model, not a curated record. The transcript has 3 exons.